RNAcentral lists this ribosomal RNA (495 nucleotides) under uncultured bacterium. RNAcentral's name for it is "partial 16S ribosomal RNA". It matches the Rfam family "Bacterial small subunit ribosomal RNA", at positions 28 to 507 of the family's 1533-position model. The record is from RNAcentral.
GACGAACGCUGGCGGCGUGCCUAAUACAUGCAAGUAGAACGCUGAAGGAGGAGCUUGCUCUUCUGGAUGAGUUGCGAACGGGUGAGUAACGCGUAGGUAACCUGCCUGGUAGCGGGGGAUAACUAUUGGAAACGAUAGCUAAUACCGCAUAAGAGUAGAUGUUGCAUGACAUUUGCUUAAAAGGUGCAAUUGCAUCACUACCAGAUGGACCUGCGUUGUAUUAGCUAGUUGGUGGGGUAACGGCUCACCAAGGCGACGAUACAUAGCCGACCUGAGAGGGUGAUCGGCCACGCUGGGACUGAGACACGGCCCAGACUCCUACGGGAGGCAGCAGUAGGGAAUCUUCGGCAAUGGACGGAAGUCUGACCGAGCAACGCCGCGUGAGUGAAGAAGGGUUUCGGAUCGUAAAGCUCUGUUGUAAGAGAAGAACGAGUGUGAGAGUGGAAAGUUCACACUGUGACGGUAUCUUACCAGAAAGGGACGGCUAACUACGUG